AAGGAGUUUUAUUCUUGCUUUUUCAUUCAGUUUUUGUUUGUUCUAUAUGUAAGUUUGUGCGUGUUUUGGGUUUGAUACUCUAAAUGGGUUGUCGAUGGGUUGUGUUAUUUAUUUUCAUUAGUUAUUGUUAGUUUGGUCAAGUGUGCUUGUAUCUAGCAAUUCUUUUUAGUUUCGGUUAAAUUUUGUGCCAGCAGCCGCGGUUAUACCUUGGAGGCGUUUGAAUGUGUUUGGUAUAUUAGUAGUUGUAUGUUUUAUAUUUUAUUGAUUUUUUUGGUCUUGUUUGGUAGGUGAAAUUUUUAUGUUUGUUUAAUGUUUAGUUAUUUAUUUGGAGGCUACGAAACCUUUGGUUUAGACUAGGAUUAGAUACCCUAUUAUUAAUUGGUGUUAAUGUUUUGUGCUUGAGUAGUAUUAGUUAUGUUCUUGAAACUUAAAGAAUUUGGCGGUAUCUCAUUCUGUCCAGAGGAAUCUGUCUCGUUAUCGAUAGUCCGCGUUGGAUCUUACUUAGAGUUUAGAGUGGUUUGUAUACCGCCGUUUAUUGAUUAUCUUUUUAGAGUUAAUUUUCUGGUUUCUUUAUUUUGAUUUAUUUCAGGUCAAGGUGCAGCUUUUUCUAAGUGUAAUGAUGGAUUACAGUGUUAUUUGUUGUUUGGAUUGUUUGGUUUUGAUACUGAUAUGAAAUUGGAUUUGGUUGUAAUGUUUUGUAGAUUGUUUUCAUGAUAAUUGGUUCUGAGAUAUGUACACAUCGCCCGUCACUCUCGUUUAGUUAUUAAUGAGAUAAGUCGUAACAAAGUGGCUGUACCGGAAGGUGUGGCUGGGAUGAA
RNAcentral lists this non-coding RNA (818 nucleotides) under Microtermes sp. C TB-2017. Lineage: Eukaryota; Metazoa; Arthropoda; Insecta; Blattodea; Termitidae. The record is from RNAcentral.